GAUGAACGCUGGCGGCGUGCCUAAUACAUGCAAGUCGAGCGAACAGACGAGGAGCUUGCUCCUCUGACGUUAGCGGCGGACGGGUGAGUAACACGUGGAUAACCUACCUAUAAGACUGGGAUAACUUCGGGAAACCGGAGCUAAUACCGUAUAAUAUAUUGAACCGCAUGGUUCAAUAGUGAAAGACGGUUUUGCUGUCACUUAUAGAUGGAUCCGCGCCGCAUUAGCUAGUUGGUAAGGUAACGGCUUACCAAGGCAACGAUGCGUAGCCGACCUGAGAGGGUGAUCGGCCACACUGGAACUGAGACACGGUCCAGACUCCUACGGGAGGCAGCAGUAGGGAAUCUUCCGCAAAGGGCGAAAGCUUGACGGAGCAACGCCGCGUGAGUGAUGAAGGUCUUCGGAUCGUAAAACUCUGUUAUUAGGGAAGAACAAAUGUGUAAGUAACUAUGCACGUCUUGACGGUACCUAAUCAGAAAGCCACGGCUAACUACGUG
Molecule: ribosomal RNA, 497 nt
Filed under: uncultured bacterium
Lineage: Bacteria
Description: partial 16S ribosomal RNA
Rfam family: Bacterial small subunit ribosomal RNA
Source: RNAcentral